GAUGAAGAACGUAGCGAAAUGCGAUAAGUAAUGUGAAUUGCAGAAUUCAGUGAAUCAUCGAAUCUUUGAACGCACAUUGCGCCCGUCAGUAUUCUGGCGGGCAUGCCUGUUCGAGCGUCAUUACGCCCCUCAAGUCCCCUGUGGACUUGGGGUUGGGGAUCGGCGAGGCUGGUUUUCCAGCACAGCCGUCCCUUAAAUUAAUUGGCGGUCUCGCCGUGGCCCUCCUCUGCGCAGUAGUAAAACACUCGCAACAGGAGCCCGGCGCGGUCCACUGCCGUAAAACCCCCCAACUUUUUAUAGUUGACCUCGAAUCAGGUAGGACUACCCGCUGAACUUAAGCAUAUCAAUAAGCGGAGGA
RNAcentral lists this unclassified non-coding RNA (358 nucleotides) under soil metagenome. RNAcentral describes it as "partial contains 5.8S ribosomal RNA, internal transcribed spacer 2, and large subunit ribosomal RNA". The stretch from base 1 to 120 matches the Rfam family "5.8S ribosomal RNA", at positions 35 to 154 of the family's 154-position model. The record is from RNAcentral.